GUGGUGGUAGCAUAGUGGCUAAGGAGCUGGGCUAGCACCUGAAAGUUAUGGGUUCAAAUCCCAGCUUCCACU
This 72-nucleotide transfer RNA is filed under the name Alosa alosa (allis shad). Its description in RNAcentral is "tRNA-OTHER". The record is from RNAcentral. Lineage: Eukaryota; Metazoa; Chordata; Actinopteri; Clupeiformes; Clupeidae.